This 223-nucleotide long non-coding RNA is filed under the name Theobroma cacao (cacao). RNAcentral's name for it is "long non-coding RNA (TCAC_LNC000789)". The record is from RNAcentral. Lineage: Eukaryota; Viridiplantae; Streptophyta; Magnoliopsida; Malvales; Malvaceae.
AAAAAACAACAACAAAAAAAGAAAAAGGGGUGAGAUCUGAGAAGAGGAAGCGGUAGAGAGAGAAAAAGAAGGAACGGCCGGCAGAGAGAAGAAAGGAGAGAGCUUGACGCCGGCAACGGAAGGCGAAGUGAUUCGCCGGGUAAGAGAGAAAUCCGAGAAGAGAGGGGAGGACGCCGGCGCCGGCGAAGAGAGAAGAAAAAGAUUUUUAGAGAGAAGGGAGAGG